This 442-nucleotide ribosomal RNA is filed under the name uncultured bacterium. RNAcentral's name for it is "partial 16S ribosomal RNA". It matches the Rfam family "Bacterial small subunit ribosomal RNA", at positions 338 to 795 of the family's 1533-position model. The record is from RNAcentral.
CCUACGGGAGGCUGCAGUGGGGAAUAUUGGGCAAUGGGCGCAAGCCUGACCCAGCAACGCCGCGUGAAGGAAGAAGGCUUUCGGGUUGUAAACUUCUUUUAAGAGGGAAGAGCAGAAGACGGUACCUCUUUAAUAAUCUACGGCUAACUACGUGCCAGCAGCAGCGGUAAUACGUAGGUGGCAAGCGUUGUCCGGAUUUACUGGGUGUAAAGGGCGUGUAGCCGGGCUGACAAGUCUGAUGUGAAAUUCCAGGGCUCAACCCCGGACCUGCAUUUGAAACUGUUGGUCUUGAGUAUCGGAGAGGAAGGCGGAAUUCCUAGUGUAGCGGUGAAAUGCGUAGAUAUUAGGAGGAACACCAGUGGCGAAGGCGGCCUGCUGGACGACAACUGACGGUGAGGCGCGAAAGCGUGGGGAGCAAACAGGAUUAGAUACCCUUGUAGUC